Molecule: small RNA, 103 nt
Filed under: Staphylococcus warneri
Lineage: Bacteria; Bacillati; Bacillota; Bacilli; Caryophanales; Staphylococcaceae
Description: Staphylococcus sRNA sau-13
Rfam family: Staphylococcus sRNA sau-13
Source: RNAcentral
CCCGUAACAUCAUUUGGAUGUGCAGCUUUGUCAAUAGACGCACCUUCUACCAUUAAGAAGAAACCUUUAUCAUUCUUUUCAAGUUUACUUAAAGCACUGUUUU